ACAGCAGUAGCCGCGGCAAUACAGAGGGUGCGAGCGUUAAUCGGAUUUACUGGGCGUAAAGCGUGCGUAGGCGGCUUUUUAAGUCGGAUGUGAAAUCCCUGAGCUUAACUUAGGAAUUGCAUUCGAUACUGGGAAGCUAGAGUAUGGGAGAGGAUGGUAGAAUUCCAGGUGUAGCGGUGAAAUGCGUAGAGAUCUGGAGGAAUACCGAUGGCGAAGGCAGCCAUCUGGCCUAAUACUGACGCUGAGGUACGAAAGCAUGGGGAGCAAACAGGAUUAGAUACCCCGGUAGUCCCUGUCUCUUAUAC
RNAcentral lists this ribosomal RNA (305 nucleotides) under uncultured bacterium. Its description in RNAcentral is "partial 16S ribosomal RNA". It matches the Rfam family "Bacterial small subunit ribosomal RNA", at positions 508 to 807 of the family's 1533-position model. The record is from RNAcentral.